CUACAGGAGCUUCUAGGCUCCAACAACUAUAGCAACCAGAAAAUAU
Amborella trichopoda is the source of this 46-nucleotide non-coding RNA. Lineage: Eukaryota; Viridiplantae; Streptophyta; Magnoliopsida; Amborellales; Amborellaceae. The record is from Rfam.